RNAcentral lists this long non-coding RNA (1055 nucleotides) under Phasianus colchicus (ring-necked pheasant). Its description in RNAcentral is "lncRNA (ENSPCLG00000010210.1)". The record is from RNAcentral. Lineage: Eukaryota; Metazoa; Chordata; Aves; Galliformes; Phasianidae.
AUACAGUACUUAUGGAAAACAAAUGUUAGUUGGAACGGUUCUGUUUUUCAGGGUACACGAUUUUUUUAAGAACCAGAUACCAUCUUUAUCCUGUCAGGCAGUAAAUUAUGCACUUGCACUUUCAUAAACUCCCCCCUUGGGAACUUAGUCAAUGAAAUGGAAAUGUCUUUUUCACACCCUCCGAGUGCAGAGGCAUACAGUCAAACAGCUAACUUGGUUAAAGCCGAGCGUCUGGAGGGAAUCCGCAGCACGCGUGGAUUAAUUGUGGCCUCGCUGUGUGUAUUGUUCAGCAUGUGCUCACAUGGUGCAUUGAACCGUGAAUCAGAUCUUUCAUCUUUUCUGGUUGUGCCACACUCUGCUCUCUCCACAUCCCAGCAGCAGCCCCGAGGCGAUGGAAGCUUCGUGGUGCUUCGGGGGACUCUUGUAGGUACGGCACUGAGCCCUGCGGGUUCCUUCGCUUAAACAUCUCAUCAUUCAACAUAGGUGCUCACUGUCGAAAGGCUGUCUAUAUUUUUCUCUUAGGUAUGCAAAAAUAAGCACCAGUGAGUGAAGAUGAAAGGAAAAGGUUGCUGGCUCCUUCCCCGGAGAUCGUAUUUCUUACUUGUUGCAUAACUGCUUAUUUUAGCAUCCAUCAGCUGAGCCUUUGUUGUGUAGACAAUUCUGUCCUUUUAGAGGAUUUGUGCAGUAUUAUUUCUCCCCAAAUGCUUUUUUUGUUGCUUUUAUUAUUAGAUUUAUCUCUUCUCUGACAACACCGUGUCAGAGCUCUCUGUAACGCAUGCCGUACAUGCUAUGAAACAGAGCAUCAUAUAUAUCAUAUGCUUGUGACCUUCCUGUAGUAAAACCACCCACCAGGUAUAAGCUCUGUGUAUACUCUAUGUAUGUGUUACAUAUAUGGGCUCAUAUACAAAUUUGGGAUCAAUGGACAUAUAUGGUAAGCAAAAUCUGGUCGGUGAUCAAAUGCUCAAGAAUGAGAAGCAUGAGAAUUCUUGGUGCCGGUGCAGCUCCAUGGAUGUUCAUUCACUGAAGCAGAGAACUCUUUCACUGCAGGUUUCCUU